AGCUCCAGUAGCGUAUAUUAAAGUUGUUGCAGUUAAAAAGCUCGUAGUUGAAUUUCUGGCGUUAACUUGCCCGGUCGGCCUCGAAUGAGUGUCAGUGCCGGUUGCAGGUUCGUCAUCCUUCUAGAUGUCUGCCUGCCUUUCAUUAGGUUUGGUUAGGGUCUAGAUCUUUUACUUUGAAAAAAUUAGAGUGUUUAAAGCAGGCUUUGCGCUAUGAAUACAUUAGCAUGGAAUAAUAAUAUAGGACUUUGGUCUUUGUUAUUGGUUUCUGACUGAAGUAAUGAUUGAUAGGGAUAGUUGGGGGUGCUAGUAUUGAAUGGCCAGAGGUGAAAUUCAUGGAUUCAUUCAAGACUAACUAAUGCGAAAGCAUUCACCAAGGAUAUCUUCUUUGAUCAAGAACGAA
This 400-nucleotide ribosomal RNA is filed under the name phytoplankton environmental sample. RNAcentral's name for it is "partial small subunit ribosomal RNA". It matches the Rfam family "Eukaryotic small subunit ribosomal RNA", at positions 587 to 987 of the family's 1831-position model. The record is from RNAcentral.